AGUGAACGCUGGCGGUAGGCCUAACACAUGCAAGUCGAACGGCAGCACAGUAAGAGCUUGCUCUUACGGGUGGCGAGUGGCGGACGGGUGAGGAAUACAUCGGAAUCUACUUUUUCGUGGGGGAUAACGUAGGGAAACUUACGCUAAUACCGCAUACGACCUACGGGUGAAAGCAGGGGAUCUUCGGACCUUGCGCGAUUGAAUGAGCCGAUGUCGGAUUAGCUAGUUGGCGGGGUAAAGGCCCACCAAGGCGACGAUCCGUAGCUGGUCUGAGAGGAUGAUCAGCCACACUGGAACUGAGACACGGUCCAGACUCCUACGGGAGGCAGCAGUGGGGAAUAUAGGACAAUGGGCGCAAGCCUGAUCCAGCCAUACCGCGUGGGUGAAGAAGGCCUUCGGGUUGUAAAGCCCUUUUGUUGGGAAAGAAAAGCAGCAGGUUAAUACCCCGCUGUUCUGACGGUACCCAAAGAAUAAGCACCGGCUAACUUCG
Molecule: ribosomal RNA, 490 nt
Filed under: uncultured bacterium
Lineage: Bacteria
Description: partial 16S ribosomal RNA
Rfam family: Bacterial small subunit ribosomal RNA
Source: RNAcentral